This 1362-nucleotide ribosomal RNA is filed under the name uncultured Gemmatimonadota bacterium. RNAcentral describes it as "uncultured Gemmatimonadetes bacterium 16S ribosomal RNA". It matches the Rfam family "Bacterial small subunit ribosomal RNA", at positions 96 to 1447 of the family's 1533-position model. Lineage: Bacteria; Pseudomonadati; Gemmatimonadota. The record is from RNAcentral.
CGGCGAACGGGUGCGUAACACGUGAGCGACCUGCCCAAUUGUGGGGGAUAGCCGGCCCAACGGCCGGGUAAUACCGCAUACGCUUCCCUGGGGGCAUUCUUGGGGAAGGAAACCUACGGGGCGAUUGGAGGGGCUCGCGGCCUAUCAGCUUGUUGGCGGGGUAACGGCCCACCAAGGCGAUGACGAGUAGCUGGUCUGAGAGGAUGGCCAGCCACAUUGGGACUGAGAUACGGCCCAGACUCCUACGGGAGGCAGCAGUGGGGAAUCUUGCGCAAUGGCCGAAAGGCUGACGCAGCGACGCCGCGUGGAGGAUGACGCCCUUCGGGGUGUAAACUCCUGUUGCCCGGGACGAAUGCCUGUUUUGACAGGAGUGACGGUACCGGGUGAGGAAGCACCGGCUAACUCUGUGCCAGCAGCCGCGGUAAUACAGAGGGUGCGAGCGUUGUCCGGAAUCACUGGGCGUAAAGGGCGCGUAGGUGGCUGGGUUAAGGCGGUUGUUGGUUGAAAAUUCCCGGGGCUCAAACCCCGGAUCGGCCAUGCGAACUGCCCGGCUGGAGCACGGUAGAGGCACAUGGAAUUCCGGGUGUAGCGGUGGAAUGCGUAGAGAUCCGGAAGAACACCGGUGGCGAAGGCGGUGUGCUGGGCCGUUGCUGACACUGAGGCGCGACAGCGUGGGGAGCAAACAGGAUUAGAUACCUGGUAGUCCACGCCGUAAACGAUGGGCACUAGGUCCUUGGGGGAGCGACCCCGUGAGGCCGGCGCUAACGCAUUAAGUGCCCCGCCUGGGGAGUACGCCGCAAGCUGAAACUCAAAGGAAUUGACUGGGGGCCCGCCAACAAGUCGGUGGAGCAUGUGGUUUAAUUCGACGCAACGCGAAGAACCUUACCUAGGCUUGACAUGGCCGAGAAAGCCAGGGGAAACCUUGGCCCCUCUUCGGAGUUCGGUCACAGGUGCUGCAUGGCUGUCGUCAGCUCGUGUCGUGAGAUGUUGGGUUAAGUCCCGCAACGAGCGCAACCCUUGUCACUAGUUACCAGCGGGUUAUGCCGGGCACUCUAGUGAGACUGCCGGUGCCAAACCGGAGGAAGGUGGGGACGACGUCAAGUCAUCAUGGUCCUUACGUCUAGGGCUACACACGUGCUACAAUGGGCGGGACAACGGGUUGCCAAGCCGCAAGGUGGAGCCAAUCCCACAAACCCGUCCUCAGUUCGGAUUGUCGUCUGCAACUCGACGGCAUGAAGCUGGAAUCGCUAGUAAUCGCGGAUCAGCUACGCCGCGGUGAAUACGUUCCCGGGCCUUGUACACACCGCCCGUCACGCCAUGGAAGCGGCGAGUGCCCGAAGUCCGUGCCGGAACCCGUAAGGA